UCUCCCCCCCCCGGGCGGUAGAGGUAACGCUCUCACGCGCCACACGUCCCAAUCCUUUCUUUACGAGCACCUUUCGUUCUCCUUCGGCGGGGUAACCUGCCGCUGGAACCCAUCAAAACUCUUUUUUUGCAUCUAGCAUUACCUGUUCUGAUACCAACAAUCGUUACAACUUUCAACAAUGGAUCUCUUGGCUCUGGCAUCGAUGAAGAACGCAGCGAAAUGCGAUAAGUAGUGUGAAUUGCAGAAUUCAGUGAAUCAUCGAAUCUUUGAACGCACAUUGCGCCCCCUGGUAUUCCAUGGGGCAUGCCUGUUCGAGCGUCAUCUACACCCUCAAGCUCUGCUUGGUGUUGGGCGUCUGUCCCGCCUCCGCGCGUGGACUCGCCCCAAAUUCAUUGGCAGCGGUCCUUGCCUCCUCUCGCGCAGCACGAAUGCGCUUCUCGAGGUGCGCGGCCCGCGUCCACGAAGCAACACAACCGUCUUUGACCUCGGAUCAGGUAGGGA
This 501-nucleotide ribosomal RNA is filed under the name Microdiplodia sp. 341. RNAcentral describes it as "eukaryotic LSU rRNA". The stretch from base 168 to 321 matches the Rfam family "5.8S ribosomal RNA". The record is from RNAcentral. Lineage: Eukaryota; Fungi; Ascomycota; Dothideomycetes; Botryosphaeriales; Botryosphaeriaceae.